GAUGAACGCUGGCGGCGUGCCUACUACAUGCAAGUCGAGCGAACAGACGAGGAGCUUGCUCCUUCGACGUUAGCGGCGGACGGGUGAGUAACACGUAGGUAACCUACCUAUAAGACUGGGAUAACUUCGGGAAACCGGAGCUAAUACCGGAUAAUAUUUCGAACCGCAUGGUUCGAUAGUGAAAGAUGGCUUUGCUAUCACUUAUAGAUGGACCUGCGCUGUAUUAGCUAGUUGGUAAGGUAACGGCUUACCAAGGCAACGAUACGUAGCCGACCUGAGAGGGUGAUCGGCCACACUGGAACUGAGACACGGUCCAGACUCCUACGGGAGGCAGCAGUAGGGAAUCUUCCGCAAUGGGCGAAAGCCUGACGGAGCAACGCCGCGUGAGUGAUGAAGGUCUUCGGAUCGUAAAACUCUGUUAUUAGGGAAGAACAAACGUGUAAGUAACUGUGCACGUCUUGACGGUACCUAAUCAGAAAGCCACGGCUAACUACGUG
RNAcentral lists this ribosomal RNA (497 nucleotides) under uncultured bacterium. Its description in RNAcentral is "partial 16S ribosomal RNA". It matches the Rfam family "Bacterial small subunit ribosomal RNA", at positions 28 to 507 of the family's 1533-position model. The record is from RNAcentral.